This 566-nucleotide long non-coding RNA is filed under the name Phascolarctos cinereus (koala). RNAcentral describes it as "lncRNA (ENSPCIG00000034855.1)". Lineage: Eukaryota; Metazoa; Chordata; Mammalia; Diprotodontia; Phascolarctidae. The record is from RNAcentral.
GCCCAGAGGUGUGUCUGUUGUUUUCAGCCAAUCACAAGGCAUUUCUGGUGAGAAAUCUUUUACCUUUACCUAGUGACCAAAGCCCUUCCCUGCUAGGUUACACCUUUGAUGAAUGGGUUGAUUCACUGGAAAGGUCUGGGCCUUCUGUGUUUUACAUUAAUUGGGGCAGACACUUCUAUCCCCACCCUAACAAAACACCCUUCUGGACACAAUGAACGCAAUACAAAGAAAGCCCAACUCUGCGGUUGGUACUGGUAAUUCCACAGUGAAGGCAUCACUUCUUUGUGAGUUACAGAGAAGAGUGCCCAAGUUUAUCCCUUUGGGAAAAGUCAAGGUGGGCAGUGCUGAGAUGCAAGAUUUACCAGGAAUUUCUUCAGCAAAUGGAUAAAAUUACAAUAACAUUUACUUGAAAACUAAAUGGGCAAAUAUGAUACCAAGAAGCAUCCUGAAAAAAAAAAGCUAAGGACAGGAUUCUGGCAGACUCAGGCUUUAAAAAGAUGACAAAGUGGUUAUCAUUAAACCUGCUGGGUAGACAGAACAACACAAUAAACUAUACAGAUUUACCA